GAUGAACGCUGGCGGCGUGCCUAAUACAUGCAAGUCGAGCGAACAGACGAGGAGCUUGCUCCUCUGACGUUAGCGGCGGACGGGUGAGUAACACGUGGAUAACCUACCUAUAAGACUGGGAUAACUUCGGGAAACCGGAGCUAAUACCGGAUAAUAUAUUGAACCGCAUGGUUCAAUAGUGAAAGACGGCUUUGCUGUCACUUAUAGAUGGAUCCGCGCCGCAUUAGCUAGUUGGUAAGGUAACGGCUUACCAAGGCAACGAUGCGUAGCCGACCUGAGAGGGUGAUCGGCCACACUGGAACUGAGACACGGUCCAGACUCCUACGGGAGGCAGCAGUAGGGAAUCUUCCGCAAUGGGCGAAAGCCUGACGAAGCAACGCCGCGUGAGUGAUGAAGGUCUUCGGAUCGUAAAACUCUGUUAUUAGGGAAGAACAAAUGUGUAAGUAACUAUGCACGUCUUGACGGUACCUAAUCAGAAAGCCACGGCUAACUACGUG
RNAcentral lists this ribosomal RNA (497 nucleotides) under uncultured bacterium. Its description in RNAcentral is "partial 16S ribosomal RNA". It matches the Rfam family "Bacterial small subunit ribosomal RNA", at positions 28 to 507 of the family's 1533-position model. The record is from RNAcentral.